This 823-nucleotide long non-coding RNA is filed under the name Mytilus galloprovincialis (Mediterranean mussel). The record is from RNAcentral. Lineage: Eukaryota; Metazoa; Mollusca; Bivalvia; Mytilida; Mytilidae.
ACAGCAGACGGUCACCAACAGGUCUUCAAUGCAGCGAAAAAUUCCCGCACCCGGAGGCGUCCUUCAACUAAACAAUACAUAUACUAGUUCAGUGAUAACGAUUUAAUGUCAUGUUUGUCUGUGAUGACCCCCCUUUUCGGGAUUGCAUGAUAAUUAUAGUUAUCUCGUACCCACAUGCACUUGUUUCUAUCCAUAGGAAGGUCGACUAUCCAUAUAAAACUAUUUUGGAUAGAAACAAGUGCCUGUGCUCGUACCGCAUCAGAAGGACAUACAUGUAUAUCAACUGAGCAAUAAUGUUUGGAACUUAGUUUUAAAAAUGAUGACAAAGUACCAUUAUGAAAAUAUUUUUAUUAAGCUGAAAUAUACAUUUAUUCUUUACAUGUUUAUGCCUUGUAAGUUAUUUUAUUUCUUUCCCGUUUUUUAACAUUUGCGUCUGGAAAGUUGAAAUGUUUUAACUUAAUCAUUUGUGUUAAUGGUUAAAUAUAAAUUAAUAAUGAAAAUUGUUAAAAUUAAAUCAAUAAAGGAAAUUAUUGCCCAGUUACAAACACUACCAGGGGAUAAUCCAUGAUGAUUUCUUUUUGAGUUAUAUGUUUCAGCACAUGUAUAUUUGACCCCAACUUUAGCCUGGUAAACGUGUUUUCUCCUUGUGAAAUAUAAAACAUAUUAAAAAUGACUUUCUGCUAAAGUCUUUUAUUUAUAUAAAGUUAAAACCUUCUUACUUCUAACUAGACAACACUCAUGUCAGGUUUAAUUAUUAUAUAUAAGUCCCCAAACAUUAACAUGACAGCAAUUGCUUUUACAGCCUUUAAGGCUUUGAUUGAUU